UGUCCCAUAGCUCAGUCAGUAGAGCAUGAGACUCUUAAUUUCAGGGUUGUGGGUUUGAGCCCCACGUUGGGCAA
This is a non-coding RNA of Podarcis lilfordi (Lilford's wall lizard), 74 nucleotides long. NCBI's taxonomy places the organism in Eukaryota, Metazoa, Chordata, Lepidosauria, Squamata, Lacertidae. The record is from the annotation of a GenBank genome assembly.